Canis lupus familiaris (dog) is the source of this 1206-nucleotide long non-coding RNA. RefSeq lists it as uncharacterized. The record is from RefSeq and is a predicted model, not a curated record. NCBI's taxonomy places the organism in Eukaryota, Metazoa, Chordata, Mammalia, Carnivora, Canidae. The transcript has 3 exons.
UGCGGUGCGAUGGAAUUGAGCUCCUCACAGGAUCAGUACAGGAUUUACAAUGCAAAAAAAUGAAUGUGUAGGGUACUGAAGGCCGAGUGGCCUGGUGAUGGACACAGGUUUUGCAAGGCGGUAUGUGAAAUGCCUUCUUAUCCUGGCCAUUUAUCUGUGCGAUGACAUCUGGGGAUAAUAUCACCAGUGGAAAGAUGAGAGACACUUUGUGAAAGUGAGGUCUAUGCCAACCCCCAACCUGUGUGAGUGCCGGCCUCAUAUUUGGCCUCUUGGUACUGGUAGGCUCUGGCCCCAGUGACCAUCGAAGGCAGAGGAAGAGGAGGGGGACGUAUCACCCGUGGGCACUGCCUGGAAGGGCAAGGGGCAGUGUAUGUGUUUGGUGUGUGUGUGUGUGUGUGUGUGUGUGUGACUGAUAUGGCCUGGUCCCCAGCUUAUACACGGCCGGCUGGUGUUCUCUGGUGAAGGUGAAUCGGUCAGAGAAGUGCUGACAAGGACAUUUCCCAUUCUCUCACUUUAAAGUGUCUCUGAGUCAUUUCCAGAUCAUUCUUGCCCCAGUCCUUGCAAGAGCUCCCUCCCCCUCACCCCACUGUGCCCCAGAGCAUGCCUGGGCAAAGUCCUAGAAUUCUGACGUCAGGCAUCACCUGAUGGGGUUAAAGGUUUUCCUAAGGACUUUCCCUCUGAGUUCUCCUGCCGUUUUACUCAUUCCACUCGGCACUGUGUUUCAGAAACUGCAAUUAUCAACAGGUUGUAAAAGCUAAGGAAGCAAUUUGAAGCUGGAAAUAUUUUGGAAGUACCCUACUGAGGUCUCAUCCAUCUUUGGAGUCAUCCAUACCCCAUUUCUCUGUUCUUAUCUUUCUUUUAGCCUCGUUCUAUCCCUAGGGUGAUCCCUCCUCCCCUAGGCAGAACCAGUUAGUGAUUGGCACAUUACAGUCCUCAUUAGAGGUGAACCCAUUUCUGAGAAUGUUGAGGAAGAGGGAAAAUUGGAUCAUAAGGAGUCCACAAGAAGACUCUGUAAUGUGUCUGAGGCUCUCAUGCAUCCGCCCUCCGUAAGUGCACCGGGACUGAUGUCACUUUUGAGUGCUCUGCACAUACCUGGGAAAGAAUAAAUUUUGUACUUCUCUGAAAAGCCACUUCACAGACCUGCUUGAUCCUCUUUCCAGCUUCCUAGGAGCUGGGUCAGGAUUAUCAGGCUCCUUUUGUUUUAUU